Molecule: long non-coding RNA, 575 nt
Organism: Mizuhopecten yessoensis (Yesso scallop)
Lineage: Eukaryota; Metazoa; Mollusca; Bivalvia; Pectinida; Pectinidae
Exons: 2
Source: RefSeq, a predicted model, not a curated record
GACGCCACUAUCAAUCCCCAUAAAUGGUUAUUAUUUGUGAUCUAGAAACAGGAAAUGUCGUGUAUGGAUCAUUUAUAUAUAGAUAGAUGGGGCAGGAUAUUAAUCAUAAAACUGAUACCGUCUAAGAAAAUGGGCGUAACAGCUGCUGAAUACGGCUACCAUAUAAAGUUUACCUGUUUCUACCGACACGUCGAAUAUAGACACGGAGAAGACGAGAAUGAAGCUUGUUUACUUGAUAUUAGUGUUGAUGUUGUUGAUGAUGGAUCCUACGUGCAUUGGAUGCAAGCGGAAGAAACUCCCGUGUACUGGCAUCUGUAACCACCCUCGAGCUCCAUGUCCGUGUUCUCCACCGUGGGAUUUUCUGCGCAGGCGCACUAGAGUGCAAGAUGGAUGAUGUACAGACCGGCCAAUCAUUAGAUAGAGCAUCAUGACUGAGAUUUUGCGGAAAUAGUUGACAAUGUAUAGGGAUUGAACCUAGUUCUGAAAAUAGACUCAGCUCAUUGAAAGAACAUCUCGCAUAGAAAAACAAAUUUAAGUAAAAAAUGAUAUCAAGCAAAAUAAAAAUAAAAAUUCAA